CCUUUCUAAGGAUGAUCAAGAAUAGGCUAAGGCCUUUUUUGAUCUGAUUAGACAAUGACGGUUUAAAGUCUUAUUUUUAAAAGUCUUAUUUAAACCGUUUACUAUUUAAACAUUCUAUGAACUAUGGGUUUUGAAUAGAAACUCUGUUUUUUAUCCAUGGUUUGUCUGUUUAAAAAUUUAUAAAAGACUAGCCGCCUUCAUUUCUCUUUCUUCAGAUGAUGAUCCUAAGCCUUCUGGUGAUCUGUUACGCAAGCCUCUGAGGGGGGAUGGAAGACGUUGUUUUCUUUGAUCAGAUUAUGCCGGUGCAGGUUUUCUGGUUUACCCCGUAGGGCUUGUAGCUCAGUUGGUUAGAGCGCGCGCUUGAUAAGCGUGAGGUCGGAGGUUCAAGUCCUCCCAGGCCCACCAAUCACACUAUGCUGAAAGCUCCUAUGAUUGAUCGCUUUUUGAAUAAGCCUUUAAAGGAAAUUUAUGAUCUUUUAUAAAACUUUUUCCCUUAUAAAACUUUCUUUAUGAAACUUUAUUGUCUCAGAGCAUUCAGAGAGAGUAUGAUAUAGCACUCAGAAUAUGAUAUAGAAAACAGAGUAUGAGAUUUAAAGAACGUCACCUCUGAAAUUGUUUUUUAUCAUUUUAAAAGUCUAAAAUAUUCUGUCUCUAUUUUUAAUUUUUAAAAAGCAUCAGAUGUUUUGUAAAAGUGCGUCGUUUUUUAUAGAGCAUAACGUGAAAGCAUUUUAAACUAUUUUAGGGGCCGUAGCUCAGCUGGGAGAGCACCUGCUUUGCAAGCAGGGGGUCGUCGGUUCGAUCCCGUCCGGCUCCACCAUACUAUGGUUCAUCAUCAUUGUUAGAAGAAUAGUUAUUGCAAGAGAUUAAUAGAUCUCUUUGCUUGUUCUAUUGAAAUUGUGAAGAAGAAGGUAUAUUCAGACAUUUUUUGCUUCAUCUCAUUUUUAUGAAAGGAUUUUUAAGAAUGGAUGGCUAAAAAAGAUAGUUAUUUUUAAAUUAAAAUGGCUAUUUUUAGGCUUUAAUUGGCGAUUGUUAACUUAAAUUAGCGAUUGUCAACAUUGUAGGGCGAUCGUUAAAACAGGGUGAUUAUUAAAACAUUGUAGCAUGCAAAGCAUUCUACAAUAAUUAUGAUCAUAUAAUAAUUAUAAUGUUAAAACAUUAUAGAAUAAUGAACAGGAUCUUUUCUGCAAUGGAGACGCCCUUUCAUUGAAGAAGGGUUUGAGGCAACGGAUGUGUCGCAGGAAGAGCUCAAAUUCCUUGCUUAUGAUUGGCAACUUAACCGUGCCAUUGAAUAUAUCUCGAGAAGUUGGUCUUUUCUGCUGAUAUUUUUGUUUUCAGUGCUUAUUGUUGAUGCUCUAUUUUUAAAAUAAAUUUUGUAUUGAUGAUUUUGCACGACAUAAUUGACGAAUGAAUAUUGGCAAUGAGAAUG
RNAcentral lists this transfer RNA (1426 nucleotides) under Bartonella sp. JB-15. The stretch from base 329 to 402 matches the Rfam family "tRNA". Lineage: Bacteria; Pseudomonadati; Pseudomonadota; Alphaproteobacteria; Hyphomicrobiales; Bartonellaceae. The record is from RNAcentral.